RNAcentral lists this ribosomal RNA (962 nucleotides) under Halalkalibacter alkalisediminis. RNAcentral describes it as "bacterial SSU rRNA". It matches the Rfam family "Bacterial small subunit ribosomal RNA", at positions 56 to 996 of the family's 1533-position model. The record is from RNAcentral. Lineage: Bacteria; Bacillati; Bacillota; Bacilli; Caryophanales; Bacillaceae.
UGCAGUCGAGCGACUAGAUAGGGAGCUUGCUCCUAANAGAGUUAGCGGCGGACGGGUGAGUAACACGUGGGCAACCUGCCCUGUAGAUCGGGAUAACAUCGAGAAAUCGGUGCUAAUACCGGAUAAUUUCUAGAAUCUCAUGGUUCUAGAAUAAAAGAUGGCUCCGGCUAUCACUACGGGAUGGGCCCGCGGCGCAUUAGCUAGUUGGUAAGGUAACGGCUUACCAAGGCGACGAUGCGUAGCCGACCUGAGAGGGUGAUCGGCCACACUGGGACUGAGACACGGCCCAGACUCCUACGGGAGGCAGCAGUAGGGAAUCUUCCGCAAUGGACGAAAGUCUGACGGAGCAACGCCGCGUGAGUGAUGAAGGAUUUCGGUUCGUAAAGCUCUGUUGUUAGGGAAGAACAAGUGCCGUUCAAAUAGGGCGGCACCUUGACGGUACCUAACCAGAAAGCCACGGCUAACUACGUGCCAGCAGCCGCGGUAAUACGUAGGUGGCAAGCGUUGUCCGGAAUUAUUGGGCGUAAAGCGCGCGCAGGCGGUCUUUUAAGUCUGAUGUGAAAGCCCACGGCUCAACCGUGGAGGGUCAUUGGAAACUGGGAGACUUGAGUACAGAAGAGGAGAGUGGAAUUCCACGUGUAGCGGUGAAAUGCGUAGAUAUGUGGAGGAACACCAGUGGCGAAGGCGACUCUCUGGUCUGUAACUGACGCUGAGGCGCGAAAGCGUGGGGAGCAAACAGGAUUAGAUACCCUGGUAGUCCACGCCGUAAACGAUGAGUGCUAGGUGUUAGGGGUUUCGAUGCCCUUAGUGCCGAAGUUAACACAUUAAGCACUCCGCCUGGGGAGUACGACCGCAAGGUUGAAACUCAAAGGAAUUGACGGGGGCCCGCACAAGCAGUGGAGCAUGUGGGUUUAAUUCGAAGCAACGCGAAGAACCUUACCAGGUCUUGACAUCCUUUUGCC